This 500-nucleotide ribosomal RNA is filed under the name Nocardia otitidiscaviarum. Its description in RNAcentral is "bacterial SSU rRNA". It matches the Rfam family "Bacterial small subunit ribosomal RNA", at positions 1 to 522 of the family's 1533-position model. The record is from RNAcentral. Lineage: Bacteria; Bacillati; Actinomycetota; Actinomycetes; Mycobacteriales; Nocardiaceae.
UGGAGAGUUUGAUCCUGGCUCAGGACGAACGCUGGCGGCGUGCUUAACACAUGCAAGUCGAGCGGUAAGGCCCUUCGGGGUACACGAGCGGCGAACGGGUGAGUAACACGUGGGUGAUCUGCCUCGCACUCUGGGAUAAGCCUGGGAAACUGGGUCUAAUACCGGAUAUGACCAAGGGUUGCAUGAUCYUUGGUGGAAAGAUUUAUCGGUGCGAGAUGGGCCCGCGGCCUAUCAGCUUGUUGGUGGGGUAACGGCCUACCAAGGCGACGACGGGUAGCCGGCCUGAGAGGGUGAUCGGCCACACUGGGACUGAGACACGGCCCAGACUCCUACGGGAGGCAGCAGUGGGGAAUAUUGCACAAUGGGCGGAAGCCUGAUGCAGCGACGCCGCGUGAGGGAUGACGGCCUUCGGGUUGUAAACCUCUUUCGACAGGGACGAAGCGUGAGUGACGGUACCUGUAGAAGAAGCACCGGCUAACUACGUGCCAGCAGCCGCGGUA